Molecule: transfer RNA, 77 nt
Filed under: Cyclophorus formosaensis
Lineage: Eukaryota; Metazoa; Mollusca; Gastropoda; Architaenioglossa; Cyclophoridae
Description: partial tRNA-Val
Source: RNAcentral
AAGUUGCUCUUAGUAAAGUGUAACAUAACCUAAUGUGCCUCAUUUACAUUGGGGUAAUAUCUUAUUGAUCUCUUUAA